This 274-nucleotide ribosomal RNA is filed under the name uncultured bacterium. RNAcentral's name for it is "partial 16S ribosomal RNA". It matches the Rfam family "Bacterial small subunit ribosomal RNA", at positions 523 to 796 of the family's 1533-position model. The record is from RNAcentral.
AUACGGAGGGUGCAAGCGUUACUCGGAAUCACUGGGCGUAAAGCGCGCGCAGGCGGUCUUUUAAGUUGGAUGUGAAAGCCUACAGCUCAACUGUAGAACUGCAUCCAAAACUAUUAGACUAGAGUCUGGGAGGGGAAGAUGGAAUUAGUUGUGUAGGGGUAAAAUCCGUAGAGAUAACUAGGAAUACCAAAAGCGAAGGCGAUCUUCUGGAACAGUACUGACGCUGAGGCGUGAAAGCGUGGGGAGCAAACAGGAUUAGAAACCCCGGUAGUCC